GGGUGCAUGGCCUAAUGGUAAGGCGUCAGAUUUCGGUUGCUGUUUCCAUUACAGUUUCACUGUCCUCUGAAGAUUGCAGGUUCGAUCCCUGCUGUGCUCG
Molecule: non-coding RNA, 100 nt
Organism: Annulohypoxylon nitens
Lineage: Eukaryota; Fungi; Ascomycota; Sordariomycetes; Xylariales; Hypoxylaceae
Source: the annotation of a GenBank genome assembly